CAUUUCCACCAUUGUUGUAAGCUUGAGCUCUCCAUUCAUGGAGAGCUAGUUUCAUUAUUGUUGGGGGAUUGAUGUAACCACUAAACUCUUAUGUAAAGCAUUUUGUUUUGAAUGAAUAUAUACCUCUUUCAUUGAUUGUUAGUGUUUAAUGUCUUUUCUUAAUGCUUGUUGUGAAGUUGCUACCCAUGACAUGAUUUAGGGUUUCUUGAUAUUGGGAAAUGUUGGGUAAACCUUGACUUGGGUUAAACACCUAAAGGAAAUAGUAUCUAGCGAUAGAACUAGGACUUUUGAUGUCUUAAAAUCUCAUUUCUUAAUGCAGAAAUAAUCAUUAGGUUUUCCAAGGGAUUGGAGUCUAAUGAGGAAGUCUAGGCUCUUUCUACCAAGGGAUUGGGGUUUG
RNAcentral lists this long non-coding RNA (397 nucleotides) under Vigna radiata. RNAcentral's name for it is "long non-coding RNA (VRAD_LNC007769)". Lineage: Eukaryota; Viridiplantae; Streptophyta; Magnoliopsida; Fabales; Fabaceae. The record is from RNAcentral.